This 252-nucleotide ribosomal RNA is filed under the name uncultured bacterium. Its description in RNAcentral is "partial 16S ribosomal RNA". It matches the Rfam family "Bacterial small subunit ribosomal RNA", at positions 524 to 776 of the family's 1533-position model. The record is from RNAcentral.
UACGUAGGUCCCGAGCGUUGUCCGGAUUUAUUGGGCGUAAAGCGAGCGCAGGUGGUUUAUUAAGUCUGGUGUAAAAGGCAGUGGCUCAACCAUUGUAUGCAUUGGAAACUGGUAGACUUGAGUGCAGGAGAGGAGAGUGGAAUUCCAUGUGUAGCGGUGAAAUGCGUAGAUAUAUGGAAGAACACCAGUGGCGAAAGCGGCUCUCUGGUCUGUAACUGACGCUGAGGGUCGAAAGCGUGGGUAGCAAACAGG